Molecule: long non-coding RNA, 1252 nt
Filed under: Homo sapiens (human)
Lineage: Eukaryota; Metazoa; Chordata; Mammalia; Primates; Hominidae
Description: HSALNT0344478
Source: RNAcentral
GUCUAAUCGGCGGUGUGCAUUCCAGGGUCAGGACACCUCCAGGAUUGUUCCGGAGGAUCAACUCACUUUGGCUAUUAGGGAAUUCUGGUUCCCCACUAACCCUGGAAGUUUUCAGAGCAGUGUCCCCACAGUGGUCCCUGGGUGGACACCUUCUCCUUGAGGUGCCCAUGGGGAAGGCGUGGGGCAGAUGUGGAGCUGCUUCUCGACACUCCCUCUGAGCUUCCUCAGCACAGGGAGCAUCCCAGGCCCGCACUGGGUCACAGCGAGGGAGGCAGCCACUGAGACACUAAAGGACCCGUGUCCGUGAAGGAGGAAUGAAAAUCCACAUCUGCAAGAGAAAACUUCCGGGUCCACACGUUACUCUUACUAAACAAAUGUGACCACAGAAAGUCUAUUUACGGAUGCUGUCUUGCCUGCCGCCAUGUUAAGACAUGCCUUCGUUCCUCCUUCACUUUCUGCCAUAACUGUGAGGCCUCCCCAGCCACGUGUAACUAACUCUAGAUGGAAAUGUUCAACUACUUAUCUGAUGUCUCCGCUUGGAUGUCUCACAGGCCACUCAAAUUCACCCUGUCCCAAACUGGACUCCUCCUUACUCCCAAACCUGUUCCUCUUCUGGUGUGGUGUCCGGGGAGGCACCAUCCUCCAGCCAGCUAAGAAGCCAGACACCCAGGAGACAUGCUGGCAUUUUCCCUCAUGCUCCACCUUCUCACCAACCCACCACCGAGAUGCAUGGAGUCCUCCAUCCCAACCGCUCCUGAACCUGCUGCUCUUCACCCCACCAUGGUCUCUGCCUUCCUCAAUAACUUCCUAAGCUUUGGCAAUGGCUUGCUUGUGUCCCUGUAUUGAUUCUGGCUUUCUCAAAUCCAUUUCCCAAACUUUUCAACAACAACGAAGUCUUCUGAUAGUUUCCUGUGCACACAGAGUCAAAUCCGAAGCUUAUAAUGUGGUAGACAAAGUUCUGAGUGAUUUGGCAACAACAGAAUGGACAAAUAAAUCACGAUGUAGUAAUUCAGUGAAACGCCAUACAGCGAAGAGAACAAACCAACCAUGGCUACACACAACAAUGCGGACGAAGAUCUCAAAAUACUUCAAAACGUUUUCUUUAAAAGUGGAUUGUGUCGGCUAGGCACGGUGGCUCAUGCCUGUAAUCCCAGCACUGUGGGAGGCCAAGGCGGGAGCAUCACCUGAAGUCAGGAGUUCCAGACCAGCCUGGCCAACAUGGCAAAACCCCAUCUCUACAAAAAUUAGCCGG